CAGCGCCACGAGUGGGGAUCCUGUUUAUUUGGCCUAAAGCGUCCGUAGCUGGUUCUGUAAAUCUUUUGUGAAAUCGUUAUGCUUAACUUAACGGCGUGCAGAAGAGACUGCAAGACUAGAGACUGGGAGGAGUUAGAGGAAUGCAGGGGGGAGCGGUAAAAUGCUAUAAUCCCCAGUAGACCACCUGUGGCGAAGGCGUCUAACUAGAACAGGUCUGACAGUGAGGGACGAAAGCCAGGGGAGCAAACCGGAUUAGAUACCCGAGUAGUCC
Molecule: ribosomal RNA, 271 nt
Filed under: uncultured archaeon
Lineage: Archaea
Description: partial 16S ribosomal RNA
Rfam family: Archaeal small subunit ribosomal RNA
Source: RNAcentral